AGAACCUCACCCAGAAUAGAUUCCCUUGAUGAAGUUGACGACCGGGAAGUAUUUCCCGUAAGCGUCAAACAUUCUUGUGAAUCAAUGACUCUGGGGAUCCUUUGUAACAAAGCCCUAGAUCAUACCCUAUGAGAACCCCGUUUUGGAAAAGCAAUCAAAUUUAUCCAUACCUCGGACCUUUGAACCUAUCCAAAGAAAAACAAAAAAAACAUUGCAUCCAUCCAUUCAUUGCAUAUGCAUAAAAAGCAAAA
This 251-nucleotide long non-coding RNA is filed under the name Lathyrus oleraceus (garden pea). Its description in RNAcentral is "Pisum sativum (pea) long non-coding RNA (PSAT_LNC014070)". Lineage: Eukaryota; Viridiplantae; Streptophyta; Magnoliopsida; Fabales; Fabaceae. The record is from RNAcentral.